RNAcentral lists this ribosomal RNA (238 nucleotides) under uncultured bacterium. RNAcentral's name for it is "partial 16S ribosomal RNA". It matches the Rfam family "Bacterial small subunit ribosomal RNA", at positions 333 to 570 of the family's 1533-position model. The record is from RNAcentral.
GUGAGCCUACGGGGGGCAGCAGUGGGGAAUAUUGCACAAUGGGCGCAAGCCUGAUGCAGCGACGCCGCGUGCGGGAUGGAGGCCUUCGGGUUGUAAACCUCUUUUGUUCAAGGACAAGGCACGGUCUUUGGCCGUGUUGAGUGGAUUGUUCGAAUAAGCACCGGCUAACUACGUGCCAGCAGCCGCGGUAAUACGGAGGGUGCAAGCGUUAUCGGGAUUUAUUGGGCGUAAAGGUCGC